CACAGAAGAACUUGUAAAGGUCAGAGGACAACUUUGUGGGUUGGUUCUCUCUUUUCACCUUUAUAUGGGUUCUGGUGAUUGAACUCAGGACAUCAGCAAGCACCCUUUACCUGAUGUACCAUCUGGUGAGCCCCUAAACUAUAUAAUUACCGGACAUUUUAACCUUACUUAAGAUUUACAGGCUUCUGUUUUGUCUUUAGGUGGUACGGGACUAUAACCUUCAGCUGUUUCUACAAGAGAAUGCUGUAUUUCACAAGCCUCAGCCCUUCCAGUUCCAGCCUUGUGACAGUGAUACUAGUUUAAAAGCCGCCCAACUGGUGGAUAUUGAGCUCUCCCCUGUCAGUGCCCUGAGAAUGACCAUAGCUGAGGUAUACGGGGGUAUGGGCAAGGGUGGGAGGGUGGAAUGUGUGGGCUUGCAU
This 419-nucleotide long non-coding RNA is filed under the name Cricetulus griseus (Chinese hamster). Its description in RNAcentral is "lncRNA (ENSCGRG00000025970.1)". Lineage: Eukaryota; Metazoa; Chordata; Mammalia; Rodentia; Cricetidae. The record is from RNAcentral.